AUUGAACGCUGGCGGCAGGCCUAACACAUGCAAGUCGAGCGGAUGAAGGGAGCUUGCUCCUGGAUUCAGCGGCGGACGGGCGAGUAAUGCCUAGGAAUCUGCCUGGUAGUGGGGGAUAACGUCCGGAAACGGGCGCUAAUACCGCAUACGUCCUGAGGGAGAAAGUGGGGGAUCUUCGGACCUCACGCUAUCAGAUGAGCCUAGGUCGGAUUAGCUAGUUGGUGGGGUAAAGGCCUACCAAGGCGACGAUCCGUAACUGGUCUGAGAGGAUGAUCAGUCACACUGGAACUGAGACACGGUCCAGACUCCUACGGGAGGCAGCAGUGGGGAAUAUUGGACAAUGGGCGAAAGCCUGAUCCAGCCAUGCCGCGUGUGUGAAGAAGGUCUUCGGAUUGUAAAGCACUUUAAGUUGGGAGGAAGGGCAGUAAGUUAAUACCUUGCUGUUUUGGCGUUACCAACAGAAUAAGCACCGGCUAACUUCGUG
Molecule: ribosomal RNA, 484 nt
Filed under: uncultured bacterium
Lineage: Bacteria
Description: partial 16S ribosomal RNA
Rfam family: Bacterial small subunit ribosomal RNA
Source: RNAcentral